GCCUGGGUGGCUCAGUCGGUUGAGCAUCUGACUUCGGCUCAGAUGAUGAUCUCACGGCUCAUGAGUUCGAGCCCCAAGUCAGGCU
Felis catus (domestic cat) is the source of this 85-nucleotide transfer RNA. It matches the Rfam family "tRNA". Rfam says of the family: Transfer RNA (tRNA) molecules are approximately 80 nucleotides in length. Their secondary structure includes four short double-helical elements and three loops (D, anti-codon, and T loops). Further hydrogen bonds mediate the characteristic L-shaped molecular structure. tRNAs have two regions of fundamental functional importance: the anti-codon, which is responsible for specific mRNA codon recognition, and the 3' end, to which the tRNAs corresponding amino acid is attached (by aminoacyl-tRNA synthetases). tRNAs cope with the degeneracy of the genetic code in two manners: having more than one tRNA (with a specific anti-codon) for a particular amino acid; and 'wobble' base-pairing, i.e. permitting non-standard base-pairing at the 3rd anti-codon position. NCBI's taxonomy places the organism in Eukaryota, Metazoa, Chordata, Mammalia, Carnivora, Felidae. The record is from Rfam.